RNAcentral lists this long non-coding RNA (514 nucleotides) under Penaeus japonicus. RNAcentral describes it as "uncharacterized LOC122252193". Lineage: Eukaryota; Metazoa; Arthropoda; Malacostraca; Decapoda; Penaeidae. The record is from RNAcentral.
GCGAGAGCGAGAGAGAGAGAGAAGGAGUGGGAGAGGCGGGGCGAGCGCAGCAACGUCCGCAUGUCGAAGGCCAACUCGGUAUUCAGUGUUGCUGCCGCCGGGACGUGUUAUCGGUGGAGUGGUGGUAGUCCGGCGAAGCAUGCAUCGUGCUUGAAAGAACUGCCUGUUGUUUGUGGACGUCUCGACCCGCGCGUAGUGAUCGAUUGCCGGCCGUUAUAUGUUUGUCUGUUCGAAUGUAGAGUGUCUGCCUCCUGUUGGAAUAGGAAAUAGGAUACCCGAGGUUGGGCAGCACUAGCCUGCCUAGCACCCACGCGCUGUGCGAAGGUUAAAGCAUCAUGAACUGGCACGGAGGAGCAUCACAGACUCGGGCCGUGAUCACAGGCAGGCUCUCGGCACAGAUGCUGUUGGCUUUCGUUGCUGCUGUUAUCUUGAUGACUAUCGCUAUCGUUCGACUCGAUGUCUUUCCGUCUUAUCAAAUCCAGCACAGUUCCGAGACAGCCCACUUGAGUAACAU